UACGUAGGGGGCAAGCGUUGUCCGGAAUCAUUGGGCGUAAAGAGCGUGUAGGCGGCUCGGUAAGUCCGCUGUGAAAGUCCAGGGCUCAACCCUGGAAUGCCGGUGGAAACUGUCGAGCUAGAGUCCGGAAGAGGCGAGUGGAAUUCCUGGUGUAGCGGUGAAAUGCGCAGAUAUCAGGAGGAACACCAAUGGCGAAGGCAGCUCGCUGGGACGGUACUGACGCUGAGACGCGAAAGCGUGGGGAGCAGACAGG
Molecule: ribosomal RNA, 253 nt
Filed under: uncultured bacterium
Lineage: Bacteria
Description: partial 16S ribosomal RNA
Rfam family: Bacterial small subunit ribosomal RNA
Source: RNAcentral